RNAcentral lists this ribosomal RNA (238 nucleotides) under Salmonella enterica subsp. enterica serovar Infantis. RNAcentral's name for it is "partial 16S ribosomal RNA". It matches the Rfam family "Bacterial small subunit ribosomal RNA", at positions 1 to 235 of the family's 1533-position model. RNAcentral also lists the same sequence under 20 other names. Lineage: Bacteria; Pseudomonadati; Pseudomonadota; Gammaproteobacteria; Enterobacterales; Enterobacteriaceae. The record is from RNAcentral.
AAAUUGAAGAGUUUGAUCAUGGCUCAGAUUGAACGCUGGCGGCAGGCCUAACACAUGCAAGUCGAACGGUAACAGGAAGCAGCUUGCUGCUUUGCUGACGAGUGGCGGACGGGUGAGUAAUGUCUGGGAAACUGCCUGAUGGAGGGGGAUAACUACUGGAAACGGUGGCUAAUACCGCAUAACGUCGCAAGACCAAAGAGGGGGACCUUCGGGCCUCUUGCCAUCAGAUGUGCCCAGA